UGCCAUGCACUGUGCCUGAUUCUACUUGC
This 29-nucleotide non-coding RNA is filed under the name Homo sapiens (human). Lineage: Eukaryota; Metazoa; Chordata; Mammalia; Primates; Hominidae. The record is from RNAcentral.